RNAcentral lists this unclassified non-coding RNA (207 nucleotides) under Clavaria flavipes. Its description in RNAcentral is "internal transcribe spacer 1". Lineage: Eukaryota; Fungi; Basidiomycota; Agaricomycetes; Agaricales; Clavariaceae. The record is from RNAcentral.
UUGAUUUAAAGAUGUGCUGGCAUUUCUUCACAGGUUUGCAUGUGCACUCUAAAAUCUCCUUCUCUUACCCCAUUGUGCACACUCCAGUAGGCAGACAGAAAUCCACAGAGCAAUCUGUGCAAUCUGAUUUGUCUAUGCUUUUACCAAACACCAAUAACAUGUCAGAAUGAUCUAUGUAGUAAGCUUUAAAUAAGCUGAAAUCUAAUA